This 635-nucleotide ribosomal RNA is filed under the name uncultured bacterium. RNAcentral describes it as "bacterial SSU rRNA". The stretch from base 1 to 540 matches the Rfam family "Bacterial small subunit ribosomal RNA", at positions 338 to 873 of the family's 1533-position model. The record is from RNAcentral.
CCUACGGGAGGCAGCAGUGGGGAAUUUUGGACAAUGGGCGCAAGCCUGAUCCAGCAAUGCCGCGUGAGUGAAGAAGGCCUUCGGGUUGUAAAGCUCUUUUGUCAGGGAAGAAACGGUGGUUCCUAAUACGGACUACUAAUGACGGUACCUGAAGAAUAAGCACCGGCUAACUACGUGCCAGCAGCCGCGGUAAUACGUAGGGUGCAAGCGUUAAUCGGAAUUACUGGGCGUAAAGCGUGCGCAGGCGGUUAUAUAAGUCAGAUGUGAAAUCCCCGGGCUCAACCUGGGAACUGCAUUUGAGACUGUAUGGCUAGAGUGUGUCAGAGGGGGGUUAGAAUUCCACGUGUAGCAGUGAAAUGCGUAGAUAUGUGGAGGAAUACCGAUGGCGAAGGCAGCCCCCUGGGAUAACACUGACGCUCAUGCACGAAAGCGUGGGGAGCAAACAGGAUUAGAUACCCUGGUAGUCCACGCCCUAAACGAUGUCUACUAGUUGUCGGGACUUAAUUGUCUUGGUAACGCNGCUACGCGUGAGUAGACGCCGUCGGGAGGUACGGUCGCGAGAGUAAACGUACGAAUAGUAAGUUAGUACGGCGUGAGACGUAGACCGACGGACGACCGACGAGGGGAGGUUAGGG